CACCUCUCAGAGUCACCUCUGGAGAGUUUCCCGUACUCUACCAGUCUCGACUACAGGAGGGAGAGUCAAGCAGGGGCCUACUCAUUCCAUUCCUAGCUUGGGCAGUGGCUAGCGAGUGGAAGGCAAUCUGCUAUAAGG
Molecule: small nucleolar RNA, 138 nt
Organism: Tachyglossus aculeatus (Australian echidna)
Lineage: Eukaryota; Metazoa; Chordata; Mammalia; Monotremata; Tachyglossidae
Source: RefSeq, a predicted model, not a curated record